This 253-nucleotide ribosomal RNA is filed under the name uncultured bacterium. RNAcentral's name for it is "partial 16S ribosomal RNA". It matches the Rfam family "Bacterial small subunit ribosomal RNA", at positions 524 to 776 of the family's 1533-position model. RNAcentral also lists the same sequence under 1 other name. The record is from RNAcentral.
UACGUAGGGUGCAAGCGUUAAUCGGAAUUACUGGGCGUAAAGCGUGCGCAGGCGGCCUCUUAAGUCAGAUGUGAAAUCCCCGGGCUUAACCUGGGAACUGCGUUUGAAACUGGGAGGCUAGAGUGUGGAAGAGGGGGGUGGAAUUCCAGGUGUAGCAGUGAAAUGCGUAGAGAUCUGGAGGAACACCGAUGGCGAAGGCAGCCCCCUGGGCUGACACUGACGCUCAUGCACGAAAGCGUGGGGAGCAAACAGG